ACUCCUACGGGAGGCUGCAGUCGAGGAUCUUGGACAAUGUGCGAAAGCGUGAUCCAGCGACGUCGCGUGCAGGAUGACGGCCUUCGGGUUGUAAACUGCUGUCGUGAGGGAGAAAUGGCGCGGGCGCUAACAUCGUUCGCGCGUGAUAGUACCUCAGGAGGAAGACACGGCUAACUCUGUGCCAGCAGCCGCGGUAAUACAGAGGUGUCGAGCGUUGUUCGGAUUUACUGGGCGUAAAGGGUGCGUAGGCGGUUCCGUGUGUCGGAUGUGAAAUCCUGCCGCUCAACGGCAGAACGGCAUCCGAAACUACGGUGCUUGAGUUCGGGAGAGGAAGGCGGAAUUCCAGGUGUAGCGGUGAAAUGCGUAGAUAUCUGGAGGAACACCCGUGGCGAAGGCGGCCUUCUGGACCGAUACUGACGCUGAGGCACGAAGGCCGGGGGAGCAAACAGGAUUAGAUACCCUGGUAGUCCCGGCAGUAAACGGUGUGCACUUGGUGUGGGGGGAGUUACUCCCCUCCGUGCCGGAGCUAACGCGUUAAGUGCACCGCCUGGGG
Molecule: ribosomal RNA, 553 nt
Filed under: uncultured bacterium
Lineage: Bacteria
Description: bacterial SSU rRNA
Rfam family: Bacterial small subunit ribosomal RNA
Source: RNAcentral